UAUAAAUAAGUUAGUUAUUUUUAGGAAAUAUUAGAAAUCGAAACUAAUUAGAUUUCUUCUCUCUCAUUUUUUUUUUCUCCAAAACCCUAAUCCUUAAAUUGUAUGAAUAUUCAGAAACAAAAAUUCAAAUUGUAUUACUCUGUUUAAUUUUAUUUCAAUCAGGGAAUUGAUUUUUUUGUGAAACAGAGUUUAUUGGAGCUGUUUCAUGUGAGUAAUGGACGUAAAUAUGUAAGUGGAGGCGACAACAGAUGCACCAGUAACCGAAAAAAAAGCUGAGGCCUUUGUUCCGCCAACUUUACUCAUGGAUUCUGACCAAGAGAGUAUAGGAAGACGAGAUGGAGAUACCACAUCAAAUGAAAGUGUAACAAGAUCUUCUAAGACUUCAGAAUAUUCCCCUUCCGUCUCGACUACCUCGUCAGAUGGUUCUUCGGAUGAUUACAUCCAAGUGGUUCCAAAAAUAAUAUUCACCUCAGCCUCAUCAGGUGUAGCAUCUUCCAAAUCUCAUUCUGAUGCAAAACUUCUAUCUCAAAGGGUUACAUGUAAUCAAUUGAAUGAAUCCUCGAAAACGACAUCUACAAGUUCCACCUCACAGGUUUCAGAUGUCACUAAUGAAUCUGAAUUCUCGACGAUAUCACAAUCUCCUUCUAUACAGGUGAUGGAACGGAAGGCAGGUUUUGAUCCCAAUAGAAUUCCCUCAUCCGUUUUUGGGAGUAAGGCUUCAUCCUCUAAGGUUUGGAGCGCUGCUUCUAUCGAAUCAUUGUUCAGUAUACACAGUCCUGGAAGUGGUAGUUCUGCAAGGAAUGAUAUUGCGAUGACUGAUGGAGAUUUGAAAAGGGACAGAAAACGAGACAAUGGUGCAGAAGUAGACAAAAAUGAAAAAAACAAUAAGUCUGAGCUAACGAGGUUUAGGCAGACUUUGCCAAUUACAAAAGGAGGAGAAUAUAAGAAAAAGACGUUUGAUAAAGAAAGGAAAGUAAAUGUCGUAAACAAACCAUCAGCAACAGGAAGUUCAGAUGAAGCAACAAAGAGAAUAGUCUGUUUUAGAGAGGAAAUGAAACUAGGGGAGAGCAUAAUCCGUUCUGCUGCACUUGGCUACCCCGAUGGAAAUGUAUGCUUUAGGGGCAACGUUGUUCGCCCUUCUGAUGGAAAUGGCACGUGUUCUGCCGCUCCUAUGGAAAAGAAGUCUUCUUGGUGGUCAUGUUGUUCUUGUAGUUGUUUGUCAAGCUGCUCGUUGAAGUGCUCAGGUUGCUCCUGUAAGUGGUUAAGCUGCUUAAGUUGCGCUUGUAAGUGGCCAAGUUGCUCUUUUAAGUGGUUAAGCUGUUCGAGUUGCUCUUUUAAGUGGCCAAGCUGCUCAAGUUGCUCUUGUAAGUGGUUAAGCUGCUCGAGUUGCUCUUUUAAGUGGCCAAGCUGCUCCUGUAAGUGGUUUAGCUGCUCAAGUUGCUCUUGUAAGUGGCCAAGCUGUUCGAGCUGGUCUUGUGAGUGGUUAAGCUGCUCGAGUUGCUCUUUUAAGUGUCCAACCUUCUCAAGUUGCUCUUGUAAGUGGCCAAGCAUGCCUGUUGGCUGCUGCAAAUGGCCGAGUUGCAAAUGCAAGUGUUUAACCUCGCUGCGCUGCUGCUGCUAAUAUCCAAUCUAACAUAGCAAUUACAAGUGCCUGACCUGGAAAAGCUCUGUACUGCACUAUAGCCGCGCAUUCUACUUUGAGGGAACUAUUACAUGAUCCCAUCUUUCCAGUUUGAAGGAUGAGGAAAAGGAUAACCUAAGCACCAUUAUAACCCAUUCAACCUCGAUCUCUUGGUUCGUGUGGUUCGUGCCCUUCUUUCAACCGCGCUCUAGAUGUUGCUGAGAAUGUGAAUGCUUAAUAUCAUGUAGCCCCUCCUUCUACGUCCGAUUCAUUCAUUAAAUCUGCUAGCAUGCUGUAGAAUGUGCUCUAGUACUCAAGGAUUAAACAAUAUCCAAUAUUUUGAUACUUUUAGUGUCUGUAUAUAGGCAAGUGAGGAGGUUUACUUAGUUCAUUUCUUUCCCUUUUCAAGUUGGGACAAGAUAUGGUUGCAAGGGAGAACAUAGAGAGGUAGUGCAAUCUUUUCUUUUGCACUAAUGCUAGUAUAUUAGGAGUUUAAAUGACACAAUUUGUAUUUCCACUCAUGUUAUAAGUUUUUUUAUUUACCAAAUAACAAGUUCCUUUUAUAUAUAUAUAUAAUUUGUAGCUGAUUGGAGAAAAAAUGUCUAUACGUAAUUGAUCAUGAUGAAAAGGAAA
Solanum lycopersicum (tomato) is the source of this 2254-nucleotide non-coding RNA. The record is from RefSeq and is a predicted model, not a curated record. Lineage: Eukaryota; Viridiplantae; Streptophyta; Magnoliopsida; Solanales; Solanaceae.